AAGACAUUGAAACAGCAAAUGCUGUGGUCUCUUUUUCUUGUUACAUGAAUGCCGAGGACCAGUACUGCUGGAGCUGGAGGAGCUCCGUCCGCUCAGCGUCGUCCACAUACUACUACUACUAGUCUACUAGCAGAGGCCAGCGGAAGGCAGCGAGGAGGAGAAGAAAGGCGGCAGGAUAAACAAGAGGGGCUGCUAAACGGAUGGGCAUGUCUUUUGGAAGCUGCAAGCUGCCGGAUGAGCAAUACUACAAGCAUUUGGAUGAUGAAAAGAAGCAUUUCUUGGUGCUUAUGUUGGGUGAUUUCGAAGAUUCGAUGAUAAUCCCAGAAGAAGUUGUGCGGCGUUUGAAAGGUGAGAUCCCAGGAGAGAUCAAGCUGGAAACCCGAAAUGGUUACAGUCACACUAUUGUGGUUUCCAAGAACCAAGAAAAGCUUGUCCUUACAGUGGGUUGGCGGCAAUUCAUCGAAAACUAUGAUCUACAGAUUGGUGAUUCCUUAAUGUUCAGAUACAAAGGGACCUCUCAGUUUAAUGUCAUGAUCUUUGACAAGCUUGGUCGUGAAAAAGCAUUAUCGGUUGUUGUCGAUCCUUUUUUGCAUCGGGUCCAAGACACGCGCAACGAGGCACAUGAAAUCGGGUCUUCUAAAAAGAUGGAUGUGCCUUGGGAAAGAUGCAAGAGCCGGACUGAAUAUCACUACGCAAACUUGGAUGAUGAGAAGAAAUAUUUCUUGGUGCAUAUGAUGGGCGUUUUUCAACAUGAGAUGAUCAUCCCAGAAGAAUUUCUUCAGCGUUUCAAGGGCGAAUUCCCAAGAGAGAUGAUACUUGAAACACAAAACUGCCGCAGUUACGUAAUUGGAGUUGCCAAGAACAAUGGAAAUCUUGUCCUUACAGUGGGAUGGGGGAAAUUUGUUGGGCGUUUGGUCUAGAGAUGGGUGACACCAUAGUAUUCAGAUACAUUGGGAACUCUCGGUUUAAUGUCAUAAUCUUUGAUGAACUUGGCUGUGAGAAGGUAUCAUCAGUUUUUGUGGAUCCUUCUCCGCCUCCUGUGCAAGAAAAGCGAACAAGUGCUACUGAUACUGUGAAAGGUUCUCAUUUUCGUCCUCAGACCAUAGAAACGCAGCCAUUUAGCAUAGGGAAAGGGAUGCGAAUGGAGUCACCACGCCUCCAAAUGGAAAUGGACAAGUCAUGGGAAGACAACAACACCGUUUUAAGUGUUUCCUCCCACGAGUCAUCAGGAGAUCCUGUCUACUAUGAAGUAGAAUGUGGGGUACGUGAAGUGCCUGGUUCCGAUUUCAAAGUCAGGAAGAAGAAGGCCAGGCUAUCUUCAAAUCAGAAGGAGCAGUUGAAGGAUGGUUACUUUAUCAGCCACAAGACCAAACUAACUUCAACUCAGAAGGAAAUGGUGAAGCAGAUGGUCCAAUCCAUAUACUCAGAGAUCCCCAUCUUCGUUGCUGUGAUGAGCAAGUGCAACGUUGUUGUAGAAUUCUAUCUGACUUUUCCUAGACACUACGCUAAGAAAUAUCUCACAGAGGAGCCACACAUGUGUCUUCAGCGGCAGGGCCGGAAGUGGGAGGCACGGUAUUGUGAAUACAAUGGCGGGAAAAAGCUCACUAUUGGAUGGAAACAGUUUGUAAAAGACAACAAGCUGAAGAUGGGUGAUAUCUGCCUCUUUAAACUGUUGAGCAAUGAGAGAACCAUGAAGGUCUAUAUCAUCAGUGAAAACGUUGCCAAUUAUCGGGCAGGUCUCCAGAAUGACGCUGACCGGGAAGCGGUGUUCCGGAGAGGGGCUCAUGAUGUGGAUGGAGCGCGUGAUCCCGACUCAAGGUUCCUUCGCACAACUAAAACUGAAGCUAUGGAAGAUGAUGUUGUUUUCAAAACUGAAGACGGUGCCUGAUCGCCCAAGGAAAAAAGCCUGGUGUCUGAACCAAGCGUAGCUGCUGUUUUUCCGCUCUGGGGAAAACGAGCGGUUGUGUCGAUCAUAAGGCCUCGGUUGCGUUUUAGAAACUUGAAAUUCUGGUGCUCCAUCCUGCUCCUUAAUUUGUUCGUUUUCUUCACAGGCUAGCCGCGCACGCGGCCUGGAACUCCUCUAGCUGUAGUUUUAGCUGUGUUCUAGUUUCCUUUUGCGCCCCUGGAUGGUGCUUUUGAGGUCGUGGGUUAUUUCAUUAUCGUGGUGAUACUGGAAUCCAAUCCUUCGUGGCCCUUUGGGGAAAAAAUGGACGCCAAGUGAUCGAGAUGUCAUGUUACCGUAUUCCCUGACGGAGGUAAGACUGGUAAUGCUUUCAUGUUUGUGGUACUGCUGAUUCGUGAAUCGCUAUUGAUGGUG
RNAcentral lists this ribosomal RNA (2317 nucleotides) under Triticum aestivum (bread wheat). RNAcentral's name for it is "partial small subunit ribosomal RNA". Lineage: Eukaryota; Viridiplantae; Streptophyta; Magnoliopsida; Poales; Poaceae. The record is from RNAcentral.